Non-coding RNA from Hydra vulgaris (swiftwater hydra), 3780 nucleotides. The record is from RefSeq and is a predicted model, not a curated record. Lineage: Eukaryota; Metazoa; Cnidaria; Hydrozoa; Anthoathecata; Hydridae.
AAGGUUAGCUUCAGUGAUAAUGAAACAACUUACUGCCGACUGUGCGGAAGAUCAGCUGUUCAUUUUGUGCGCUAUAUUGCAGGUCGAACGCGGCAGUCAUUUGUUUAUCGUGCUUGCACCCGUUAAAGCUAAAAAAUUGUAUUUUCCUCAAUGAUAAAUAUUUGUGCUGUGUGCACGUAAAACAAACAUUUUCACUAUGGAUUUAGUUUCAAGAGGUAUGUACUAAUUUAAAAAUAUAUAUUAUUUUUAAGUCAUUAAUUAUAGAUGUUUUUUUCUAAUUGAAUUCAUACUGAAAAUGUUUUAUAAAAUUGUAAAAUUUGCUUUAAAAAUAGAGAUAAGUUACGAAUUCCACGACAUUCCACUUUCAUUUACAUUUUGUUUGUAUGUAUAUAGUAUUAUUUUUGUAAUUUAACACUUACUAAUACCUACUCCACUUUUAAGCCAAGUUUUAAAUCACAGUUGCAAAAUGUCGUUAUUGAGACAUCUUAAAAAAUAAAAGUAAAAUUAUUUAAUUAUGAACUACAUUUGUACAAAUUUAAUUAUAAUUGAUGUCUAGAAGCAUUAUAAAGAAUAUUAAGAGUAGAAAAGGAUGGGAACACUGCUUUAUCCUAUACAGCGAGAUGAAUAACUUAGAAAAAGACAGUGAUCACCACACACACCGCUUCACAGUGAUUACCAUUUUCCAAUCAUCAAGAAAUGAUUGCAUUCCCUUUUUUUCUUGUUUCAUAUUUUGAACUAAAUAUUUAGUUAUUUUUUUUAAUGACAAUAUUAAUAGGAAAAAAUAUUUUUCCUUAAAAAAGUUACUAACUCCAUAAUUAAAUUAGGAAGAAAAUAGAUAUAAAUCGAAACACAUAGAUUGGACAUACUACGUGCAGAUGUUUUUUAACGCUUAAGCCGUGGUUACAGACUGUCGAAAUAAGACUUAUUACAAAAGAAUAUUUUGCAAAAGAUUGGAAAUGGAUAGAAUUCAUUUAAUGGCAGUUUAUCAGAUAUACUGGUUGUCAUGUAUGGGCGUUCGAAAAAGAGAUCUUUAUUAUAACAAAAGAAUAUUUUGAAAAAGAAUUUUUAUUCGAUAAAGUUUUUCGUUUAAAUUUGAUUUUGCAAACAAUUUUCAAGUGAUCAAAGAACAUUUGGAAAAGUCAAUGACAGAAAAGAUUGGAUAUGUAGUUUCAAUUUUCAACGACAUAAGACCUACUAUUUCUAUUUUAAUGACAAAGUUUAGAAGCAAAUAUAAAGAAGCAGCUCAACGAUAAGAUUACUUUUUCAAAAUAAACAAAAACUGGUUAAAAACUUUAGUAAAUUUUCAGAUUGAUUCAAAACGUGCAACUGUAAAUAAAUUGACAAGACGGUCCACCGAAAAUUUUAAAAUUUUAUCUGAUAGGUCCAAAAUAAGGAGAACUAAAGAGAUACGUACAAAGCUCAAUCGUGCCAAAUUAUUGUUCGCUACGCAAAUGAGCCUAUGAUCUUCAGGUCGUUCAGGCGCUGCAAAGAUUGUAAAUGACGUUACACUGUAAAUUCCAUUCAAGGUAACAAAAUACAAGGAAGGUAUGCAACUAUCAUUAUUAUUGUCAAUCUUCUAUGAUGCAAAUGAAGCUGUAGCACUUCUAUUAGACCUAGAUUUGACGAAAUAUUUUUACCAGCAUAUUGCAAAAAAUAGAUGCUUAAAUACACUUUAUCCACUAUACUCAGCUGUAUUGGCAGCAAAAACAUGUUGCUACCCUCCAGGCGACACCUUAAUUUUACCGAAUCAAAAGUUUAGGUACAGUUUUAAGCUUUAUUAGACCACACCGUUCAACGUGUUUUACAGCAGAACGAAGACAAUAUUGCAUAUAAGAGUAAUUCAGAAAUAUUGAAUAUGACUUUGAUUAGUGGGGCUUUGACGGAACUUUCAGACAGAGCAUUUAAAAAAUGACUUUUGAAGAUCCGAUUAUAUAUCAUGCAAAUUUAUUUUUUACUUUGCUUGUUUUAUUGCAAUUUUUAGAUGUAAAUCAAGAAACGAAAGAAGAAAAUCUCUUAUGGAAUAAUCCAAAACCCUUUUUUGCAGAUCUCUGAAAUUGCGAUUAACAAAGGAAACCGAGGAAAGUUUUUUAAAUGAGAAAACUCAUUUUGACACUCACAUCGAACAACUCCAACCAUUUAAAACAACCAUUCAUAUGAAAAAUGUUUUCAUUCGAUACAAUUUAAGUAUGAUCAUGAUAGAUGGAAAUUGUAUGCAAUGCUAUUUUAAACACAAAAUCUGCGCACCAGUGUUAUCUCUGCAGAUCAACUUCCAAGCAAUUUAAUGACAUUGAUGAAGUUUUGCAAAGACCGUUGAUAAAGUUCGGCAAAAAUUGGUAACCACUGAUUAUCUACAGUACGGACUGACAGCACUGUAGAUAAUCGAUAAACUCUACACGCCUGGAUUCGAUAUUUUGAGUACUUUAUUUAUUUGGGAUACAAAAAAAAAAAAAGAAGAAAUGGCAAGCGCGUAAACAAGAAUUUAAGCAGUAAAAAGCAACAAUGAUAGCUGCAUCUACAAGGCUUUCAAACAGCAACUAAGAAUUUUAGUCAACAUGCCAAAGCAAGGGUUGUACAGCACGUUCGAAGGAAAUGCCGCUUGAGGUUUCUUUGAAAACAACUUAACGUCACCCUUGAUAGUUAAUGUUUCUGAAGAACUAAUCUACCGUUUUCAUAUAAUUUUGCCAACACUUUCAAGUGGACAUGAAAUCAACGUUGAAAAGUUUUGAGAUUACGCCUAAGCAACUGCAAGACACUAUCAAAGAAUAUCCUUGUACAACAUGCCAACAUCAGUACAAAGAUUGCUGAUCCACGGAUUUGACAUUAUUUCUUCGGCCAUUUUUUCCAUGGGUCAACUGCCCGAGGAUGCUCAAGAACAAACCAAUAAGCUAAUAAAGCAAAAUCGUUUGGGUUUUUUAGGAAAGUUUUCAAGAGUUAAGACUAUGGAAGACGUGUUCAGGAGAUUGUUGGCAACCACAGACCUUUACAUUUCAUCUCUACGAUAAUCAACACUAAAAAAAAUGGAAGACAGCCAGCAGCUGCUGCCCCCUUGGUUCCUGUAGCAAAAGAUUAUGAAGACUCUGAUGCAGAUGCCGAGGAAACAGACUUUGGAUAUAAUUUAACUUCAACGAAGAAACGGGUGAAAAUGAAAAAGAACCAGAAUGAUUGUAACUGAAAUAAAACGUUUUUUUUUUUUUAUAUUUAACACCAUUCUCCGUCAUUUGAUCCAUUUUUUAGCUUAUAUAUACACAUUGAAUCCAUCAUUUUGUUUUUUAUUUUUUUAAUAUAAAGUUUUUUUUUUUUUUUUAUAUAUAUUUAUGUCAAAUUUUGUGGCCUGAAAGCACCCUUAAAAACCCAUUUAUAAAAUUUUUUAACAUAUAUCUCUGCCAUAUUGGAUCCGCCAUAUUGUUUCCGCCACUUUUGUUCUUUUUUUUUUGCGAAUUUUUAAUCAGUAACUUCGAAACAUAUUUGCCAUGUAAUUUCAGCCAAAUCAAAUAACGUUUUUAUAUUUUGACCAGGUUUUUCGAUAUCUGACUCACUGUGCGGCGCCCCAAUAACGUCGGCGCUGUCAAAAACGGUCUAGAACAGCCCCUGACAUAUAUAUCAGUGACGGAUCCAGUGGUAGUAUGGCAAGGCGGAUGUUGAAAUAUUUUUGUAUUUUGUACCCUUUUUGCGUCUCCUAAAAAUAAAAAGGUCCUACCUUUAUAUAUUUUAGGACUUUUAAAUUCUGGGUAGGGGGGUACCCUAUCCCCGCUAAAUCCGCAUACCCCCCAUCCCCGCUAA